AUGGAAGCUAGGGCUCCAUUGGGGGUGUCGCUUCAAAUUCAGCGAACAGUCUUUCCUCCUCUUCAAACAGACGGCGCCGAAUUCGAUCUCCCUGGCGAUUCACCCUCCUAUCCGCCACCGUGGUUAAGAUCAUCACUACCUUGUGUCACUGUGAAACACCUCGUCCUAACCCCAUCUCUUUCAUCUUCACAUCGAAUCGCCAUGGGACCAACUCAGUGGCCUCAAUUAAGAUCUGACUCAGGAAACGACGGUAUCACGAGGAAGAAGCGAAUGCGAGGCAAGCAAUAA
Non-coding RNA from Vicia faba (fava bean), 288 nucleotides. Lineage: Eukaryota; Viridiplantae; Streptophyta; Magnoliopsida; Fabales; Fabaceae. The record is from the annotation of a GenBank genome assembly.